This 275-nucleotide ribosomal RNA is filed under the name Candidatus Thalassarchaeaceae archaeon. RNAcentral's name for it is "partial 16S ribosomal RNA". It matches the Rfam family "Archaeal small subunit ribosomal RNA", at positions 1202 to 1478 of the family's 1478-position model. Lineage: Archaea; Methanobacteriati; Thermoplasmatota; Candidatus Poseidoniia; Candidatus Poseidoniales; Candidatus Thalassarchaeaceae. The record is from RNAcentral.
GUUCCAAACUCGAAAGAGAGUGGCAAUCCCUAAACGCUACCACAGUUAUGACUGAGGGCUGUAACUCGCCCUCACGAAUAUGGAAUCCCUAGUAACCGCGUGUCAUUACCGCGCGGUGAAUACGUCCCUGCUCCUUGCACACACCGCCCGUCGUUUCAUCGAAGUUUGCUUUUAGCGAGGUGAUGUUUAAUUGGCAUUAUCGAACUUGAGGUAAGUGACGAGGGAAAAGUCGUAACAAGGUGACCGUAGGGGAACCUGCGGUCGGAUCACCUCCU